Molecule: ribosomal RNA, 1297 nt
Filed under: Cutibacterium acnes
Lineage: Bacteria; Bacillati; Actinomycetota; Actinomycetes; Propionibacteriales; Propionibacteriaceae
Description: bacterial SSU rRNA
Rfam family: Bacterial small subunit ribosomal RNA
Source: RNAcentral
GUGAGUAACCUGCCCUUGACUUUGGGAUAACUUCAGGAAACUGGGGCUAAUACCGGAUAGGAGCUCCUGCUGCAUGGUGGGGGUUGGAAAGUUUCGGCGGUUGGGGAUGGACUCGCGGCUUAUCAGCUUGUUGGUGGGGUAGUGGCUUACCAAGGCUUUGACGGGUAGCCGGCCUGAGAGGGUGACCGGCCACAUUGGGACUGAGAUACGGCCCAGACUCCUACGGGAGGCAGCAGUGGGGAAUAUUGCACAAUGGGCGGAAGCCUGAUGCAGCAACGCCGCGUGCGGGAUGACGGCCUUCGGGUUGUAAACCGCUUUCGCCUGUGACGAAGCGUGAGUGACGGUAAUGGGUAAAGAAGCACCGGCUAACUACGUGCCAGCAGCCGCGGUGAUACGUAGGGUGCGAGCGUUGUCCGGAUUUAUUGGGCGUAAAGGGCUCGUAGGUGGUUGAUCGCGCGGAAGUGUAAUCUUGGGGCUUAACCCUGAGCGUGCUUUCGAUACGGGUUGACUUGAGGAAGGUAGGGGAGAAUGGAAUUCCUGGUGGAGCGGUGGAAUGCGCAGAUAUCAGGAGGAACACCAGUGGCGAAGGCGGUUCUCUGGGCCUUUCCUGACGCUGAGGAGCGAAAGCGUGGGGAGCGAACAGGCUUAGAUACCCUGGUAGUCCACGCUGUAAACGGUGGGUACUAGGUGUGGGGUCCCAUUCCACGGGUUCCGUGCCGUAGCUAAACGCUUUAAGUACCCCGCCUGGGGAGUACGGCCGCAAGGCUAAAACUCAAAGGAAUUGACGGGGCCCCGCACAAGCGGCGGAGCAUGCGGAUUAAUUCGAUGCAACGCGUAGAACCUUACCUGGGUUUGACAUGGAUCGGGAGCGCUCAGAGAUGGGUGUGCCUCUUUUGGGGUCGGUUCACAGGUGGUGCAUGGCUGUCGUCAGCUCGUGUCGUGAGAUGUUGGGUUAAGUCCCGCAACGAGCGCAACCCUUGUUCACUGUUGCCAGCCCGUUAUGGUGGGGACUCAGUGGAGACCGCCGGGGUCAACUCGGAGGAAGGUGGGGAUGACGUCAAGUCAUCAUGCCCCUUAUGUCCAGGGCUUCACGCAUGCUACAAUGGCUGGUACAGAGAGUGGCGAGCCUGUGAGGGUGAGCGAAUCUCGGAAAGCCGGUCUCAGUUCGGAUUGGGGUCUGCAACUCGACCUCAUGAAGUUGGAGUCGCUAGUAAUCGCAGAUCAGCAACGCUGCGGUGAAUACGUUCCCGGGGCUUGUACACACCGCCCGUCAAGUCAUGAAAGUUGGUAACACCCG